AGCUAUGUGACUGUGGGCAAGUCACUUAACUCUGUUUACUUCAAUUUCCUCAUCUGUAAAAUGAGCUGGAGAAGGAAAUGGCAAAAUACUCUAGUAUCUUUACGAAAAAAUCAAAACAAAACAAAACAAAACAAAACAAAAACUGAAAUGGGGUCAUAAAGAAUCAGAGAUGACUGAAAAACGACUAACCAACAAAGACUGGUGGUCAAAAUAAAAUUGUUCCUGCAGUACUCAGAGUUGUUAUGGUCAUGACUAUGAUGGUGGGAAAAGUGAUCCCUUGAGUAAGAUUUGGGCUCCCCUGCCAGUGAAUUCAGUCUAGAAGCACGUGGCCAGGUACUUGAGCAGGGAGCAGCAGGUGACCUAAACUCCUGAGAGUCCCAGUGGCAGUUAACGUCUCACUUCUGUGCUGAACAGAAACGACAUGAAAAUCAACCCUCACCACAGAAGCUUAUGUUGUUCUGGGGUUGUGGGAGACGCAAUAGUUACACAGCCUGGUCCAUAGUUUCAAUGAUACAUCCUAAGAAAAGCUCAAAUUGCAUCCCUCAGUUCAAACACAAAAGAAAAACGUUGAAGCAAAGACCUUGGCAUCAUUGGUCCAGGAUCCCAGAAUCACAGAAUUAGUAAGUAUCUGAGGCUGGAUUUGAAUUCAGGUCUUCCUGACUCCAGUUACUGUCCAUUACCCACCGUACCACCUAGCUUACUCAACAAAAAUCUGUCCCCUGUAAACCACUUCAUUUUUAGGAAGAUUACUGUGACCUGACUCAAAACAGCUGCCUACUUUUUCCCUCAGAUAUCUCUUAUGUUCUCAUACUUUAUCAUUACAGUCAAAACUGUCUUGUGCUUAGAGACACUAUUUUGAGUAUAAAUCUCCUCAGAAUAGGUAUAUCACAAGUACAAAUAUAUCACGUACAGUUGCCAAAUUCUUUAUAUUCUAUAAAGCUGUCUAGGAUAGUAAAACAAGAGAUAAUUAAAAUAUUAUUUGGCCAUGAUUCAAAGUUGAUUUUUAGGGGUGUAAUAAGGGUGUUCUAGAUUUAUGAUUUCAUCAGUGAGGAAAACUACCAAUGCAAAAAACAAUGAUACACUGGAUACAGGAAACUCAGCCCUAAGGUAAGGCCAUAGUGAGUUGCUUAGGGCACUAAGAGAUUAAAUGCCUUGUCCAUGAUCCAUAGCCAAUGUGAGUCAAAGGCAACACUUGAAGCCAGAUCUUUGUCAUAACAGGCUUCACCCUCUAUCCACUAUACCCUGCUAACUCAAAAUAAAACACUUCCCUCUUAUAGAUUGUAAGUUCCU
Molecule: long non-coding RNA, 1290 nt
Filed under: Phascolarctos cinereus (koala)
Lineage: Eukaryota; Metazoa; Chordata; Mammalia; Diprotodontia; Phascolarctidae
Description: lncRNA (ENSPCIG00000031813.1)
Source: RNAcentral